RNAcentral lists this ribosomal RNA (253 nucleotides) under uncultured bacterium. Its description in RNAcentral is "partial 16S ribosomal RNA". It matches the Rfam family "Bacterial small subunit ribosomal RNA", at positions 524 to 776 of the family's 1533-position model. The record is from RNAcentral.
UACGAAGGGGGCUAGCGUUGCUCGGAAUCACUGGGCGUAAAGGGUGCGUAGGCGGCUCUUUAAGUCAGGGGUGAAAUCCUGGAGCUCAACUCCAGAACUGCCUUUGAUACUGAGGAUCUUGAGUUCGGGAGAGGUGAGUGGAACUGCGAGUGUAGAGGUGAAAUUCGUAGAUAUUCGCAAGAACACCAGUGGCGAAGGCGGCUCACUGGCUCGUAACUGACGCUCAUGCACGACAGCGUGGGGAUCAAACAGG